RNAcentral lists this ribosomal RNA (638 nucleotides) under uncultured Flavobacteriales bacterium. RNAcentral describes it as "partial 23S ribosomal RNA". It matches the Rfam family "Bacterial large subunit ribosomal RNA", at positions 1944 to 2591 of the family's 2925-position model. Lineage: Bacteria; Pseudomonadati; Bacteroidota; Flavobacteriia; Flavobacteriales. The record is from RNAcentral.
AAAGGUUCACAGGGUCUUUUCGUCCCUUGUCGGGUAAGUUCCGACCUGCACGAAUGGUGUAACGAUCUGGGCACUGUCUCAACCAUGAGCUCGGUGAAAUUGUAGUAUCGGUGAAGAUGCCGAUUACCCGCAAUGGGACGAAAAGACCCUGUGAACCUUUACUAUAGCUUCGUAUUGACUUCGGGUAAAUGAUGUGUAGGAUAGGUGGGAAACUAUGAAGCGGCUUCGCUAGGAGUCGUGGAGUUAACGUUGAAAUACCACCCUUUAUUUAUCUGGAGCCUAACUUCUGUAAGAAGGACAUUGCGUGGCGGGUAGUUUGACUGGGGUGGUCGCCUCCAAAAGAGUAACGGAGGCUUUCAAAGGUACCCUCAGCACGCUUGGCAACCGUGCGUAGAGUGUAAUGGCAUAAGGGUGCUUGACUGUGAGGCCAACAAGCCGAACAGGUGCGAAAGCAGGACAUAGUGAUCCGGUGGUUCCGCAUGGAAGGGCCAUCGCUCAUAGGAUAAAAGGUACUCCGGGGAUAACAGGCUAGUCUCCCCCAAGAGCUCACAUCGACGGGGAGGUUCGGCACCUCGAUGUCGGCUCGUCACAUCCUGGGGCUGGAGAAGGUCCCAAGGGUUGGGCUGUUCGCCCAUUAA